RNAcentral lists this ribosomal RNA (3209 nucleotides) under Cordyceps militaris. RNAcentral's name for it is "large subunit ribosomal RNA". It matches the Rfam family "Bacterial large subunit ribosomal RNA". The record is from RNAcentral. Lineage: Eukaryota; Fungi; Ascomycota; Sordariomycetes; Hypocreales; Cordycipitaceae.
AAAAAUAAGAUAUAUAAAUUAUACUUAUUGAUUCGUUAAGAGGCUACUGUUGCAAAGCACGUACGCCUAAAACAAUCAAUGUAAGUAUGUAAAGGAAUUAUUAUGCAAUUCUAGCUAUGUAUUAAGGAGAGCAAAUUUGAUAUAAAAAGGAAUAUAAUAUAUUUCUAGUUAAUAAGCUCUAGAAGAAAUUUAAUAAUAAACGAAGUGAAGUGAAAUAUCUCAGUAACUUCAGGAAAAGAAAUCAAAAGAGAUUCUAUGAAUAGCGUGAGCAAAAGUAGAUAAGUCUAUUAAGUAAAAUGGUUUAUAAACUGUUUGAAUGGGGAACCUUCCUCAAAGACUAAAUAUGAUACAUAAGCGAUAGAUGAUGGGCCGUGAGGUAAUUGGAAGUUAGUAGUAAUUUUAUAAGCAGUUCGAAUAGACUUAAUUUAAGUUAAAGAACGUACCUUUUGCAUAAUGGGUCACCAAGUUAACAUUAGAUGCGAGAAAAUUUCGUAGUUAAACCAAACGUUAAAAUAACGAUAAGUGUCUAAAGUUAGACCCGAAGCCUAGUGAUUUUACUAUGAUCAGGAUUAUAAAAGUCCGAACGGGUGAUUGUGGCAAAAAUCUCCGAAGAAUCGUGGUAGGUAUAGUGAAAGACAAUACUGACUAGGAUAGCUGGUUUUCUGCGAAACCUAUAAGAGUAGGCAAUUUAAGUAAAUAUCUUAGCAGGUACAGAAUUUAAUCUCAGGCAAUAUUAUAUUGCGCAAAUUGGGGAAUCGUGAAGAUUUUAUCAGUGAGUAUGUAGACUCGGAAUGGCAAAGAUAUAUCUUGAAUAAUCAGACAUAGAAUGAUAAGGUUGUAUGUCAAAAGGGAAACAGCCCAAAACAAGAGUUAAGGUUCCUAAAUUAUUUGUUGAGUGAAAAUAAGAAGGUUUUUAUUAAAGUCGACAAGGAGAUAGGCUUAGAAGCAGCCAUAAUUUUAUGACCUCGUAACAGAGCGCUUGUUAAGUUAUAAAAGCAUCGAAAAUAUAACGGAUCUAAACAAUAUACCGAAACCUUGUCCAUAAAUUAAUGUAGUUUGUUAUUAUACUAUAAAUUUAUGGGGUAGCAGAACGUUGAAUUAGACUAAAUAACAAGUUUAUAAAUUUGUUAUGUUAAUUCAAGUGAGAAUGGUGACAUGAGUAACGAAAAGAAUAGUAGAUUUUGGUAAUAAGCGCAAGUUUUAUUGCGAACAAUACAUUAAAUAAUAGAUCUUAUUUAAUGCUUACAAGAUCUGCUAUCCGCCUAAAGCUUAUGGUUAGAAUUAAGUAACGGCCUCUAAGCUUUUUAUCUAAAGAUUGAAGCGAUGAGAAAAUCUUUUAUUAUAAGACGACAUUUAUCUAGUGAAAAAUGUACAGGAAAUAUUAUAAUAUUGUAACCGUACCUAGAAACCGACUAUGGUAAGCUAGUAGAGUAUACGAAGGCGUAAUUGAGAUAACAAUCAUAAAGGAACUCGGCAAAUUGACUAUCGUAACUUCGGGAUAAGUAGGGCUCAUUAUUCUUGAUUAAUAUCAGGUAAAGAGGAAGAAACAUAAAAUAAUGUUGUACGACUGUUUAAUUAAAACACAGCACUUUGCUUAAAGAUUAAAAAUCUAUGUAUAAAGUGUGAUAUCUGCCCGGUGCCGGCUGGCUAACAGAGAUAAUUGAAUAUAUUACUAUUUGAUGUCAACGGAAGCCCCGGUUAAAGGCGGCCUUAACGUGAGGGUCCUAAGGUAGCGAAAUGCCUUGGCCGUUAAAUGCGGUCUUGCAUGAAUGGUGUAACGAUACAACAGCUGUCUCUAUGAUUGACUCAGUGAAAUUGGAAUAGCUGUGCAGAUACAGCUUACCUCUAGUUAGACGAGAAGACCCUAUGCAGCUUUACUGUCACUAAUAAUAGAUUUUGAUGAAAAAUUUUCAGACUAAAAGGGAAUUGAUUAAAUAUCUAUGAGAAACCUUUAUUUUUAUUCUUCAUUUGAAUGAAUUGAUAUACCUAUUGGUAUAUCAUCCUAGUUCAGCCUAGAUUAUGUAGCGCUUCGCGCUAUUUUUAUUAAAAAAUAGUGCAAGCUAUUAUUAAGAGAUAGGUACCCUUGGAGAGGAACUAUUACUAGGGGACAGUUUAUGUGGGGCACAGACCCUGUAAAGAGUAAACAGGUGUGUCUAAUAAUUAUUUUUAUUUUGUUUGCUAUUUUUAUAUAAAUCGUAUUGACUUUGAUAUAAUUGUAUUAUAUGCUUAGUAAGCUAUAUAAUUAUAUUUAUAUUGAAAAUUUAGGUAAGAUUUUGACUAUACUGAAAUUAGAGAUAAUUUAAAUUUUUAUGUGAUAUGUUUAUUAUUACUAAAUUUUUAUAGUUACUUAAAACACUGUAGGUUUUACUAUUUUUUAUUAAAAAAUAGCAAGCUAUAGUUAGUAAUUAUGUUUUUAAUAUCUAAAAAGCUCAACGGCUUAAUCUUGCCUUACUGUUUGAUUAUCGACAAAUCUUACAGUUGCGUAAGCAGGGCAUAGGAUCACAAGAUGCAAUAAGGAAAGAUCUUGGAUUAUUGGAAAAGCUACGCUAGGGAUAACAGGCUAAUUUGCGCAAGAGUGUACAAAAUGAGUGCGCGGUUUGGCACCUCGAUGUCGGCUUAACUUAUCCUCAUGGAUGCAGAAACUAUGUAGGGUGCGACUGUUCGUCGAUUAAAAAGUUACAUGAGCUGGGUUAAAUACGUCGUGAGACAGUAUGGUUUCUAUCUUCUAGAGGGAAUUAGAAUAAAAUAAGAACGAACUUUUGUACGAAAGGAACAAGAAUGAUUUAAGGUUAUAGGCUUUGUCUAUAACUAAAUAAAUUAUAGUUACUAACCUAUGGUUUACCUGUUGUUUAUAUGCCCUGUUAUUAAAUAUAUGGAUAGAAUAAUAUAUUUAUUGAUUAGUAUUUAGUUAUAAAUAUUUAUAUUUAGAUCAAUACGGUACUAAUUCAGUAGACACUGCUAUUUAUAUAGAUGUAUAUUAAUAUAUACAAAGGAUGUAUCGUUCGCUAGGAUAAUAUAUUAUAUAAGCACGGCAGGAAAGCUAAGUUGGUUAAGGAUAAGUGCUGAAAGCAUAUAGGCACGAAGCUUAUCUUAAGAUAUUUCUUAAAUAUAUGUAUUAGAAUAAUACACAAUAGGCUUUCUUUGUAAGAAUCUAGAGAUUUGUAAGAUGAAAGUACUAAUUUUAUAAAUUACUAUGUAUAUAUAUAUCA